GACGAACGCUGGCGGCGUGCUUAACACAUGCCAGUCGAACGGAAAGGCCCUGCUUUUGUGGGGUGCUCGAGUGGCGAACGGGUGAGUAACACGUGAGUAACCUGCCCUUGACUUUGGGAUAACUUCAGGAAACUGGGGCUAAUACCGGAUAGGAGCUCCUGCUGCAUGGUGGGGGUUGGAAAGUUUCGGCGGUUGGGGAUGGACUCGCGGCUUAUCAGCUUGUUGGUGGGGUAGUGGCUUACCAAGGCUUUGACGGGUAGCCGGCCUGAGAGGGUGACCGGCCACAUUGGGACUGAGAUACGGCCCAGACUCCUACGGGAGGCAGCAGUGGGGAAUAUUGCACAAUGGGCGGAAGCCUGAUGCAGCAACGCCGCGUGCGGGAUGACGGCCCUCGGGUUGUAAACCGCUUUCGCCUGUGUCGAAGCGUGAGUGACGGUAAUGGGUAAAGAAGCACCGGCUAACUACGUG
This 468-nucleotide ribosomal RNA is filed under the name uncultured bacterium. RNAcentral describes it as "partial 16S ribosomal RNA". It matches the Rfam family "Bacterial small subunit ribosomal RNA", at positions 28 to 507 of the family's 1533-position model. The record is from RNAcentral.